AGCGAACGCUGGCGGCAGGCUUAACACAUGCAAGUCGAACGGACCCUUCGGGGUUAGUGGCGGACGGGUGAGUAACACGUGGGAACGUGCCUUUAGGUUCGGAACAACACAGGGAAACUUGUGCUAAUACCGGAUGUGCCCUUCGGGGGAAAGAUUUAUCGCCUUAGAGCGGCCCGCGUCUGAUUAGCUAGUUGGUGGGGUAAAGGCCUACCAAGGCGACGAUGAGUAGCUGGUCUGAGAGGAUGGCCAGCCACAUUGGGACUGUGACACGGCCCAAACUCGUACGGGAGGCAGCAGUGGGGGAUCUUACGCAAUGGGCGAAAGCCUGACGCAGCCAUGCCGCGUGAAUGAUGAAGGUCUUAGGAUUGUAAAAUUCUUUCACCGGGGACGAUAAUGACGGUACCCGGAGAAGAAGCCCCGGCUAACUUCGUGCCAGCCGCCGCAGUAA
This 448-nucleotide ribosomal RNA is filed under the name uncultured bacterium. RNAcentral's name for it is "partial 16S ribosomal RNA". It matches the Rfam family "Bacterial small subunit ribosomal RNA", at positions 29 to 523 of the family's 1533-position model. The record is from RNAcentral.